UGCGCCUGAUGCCAUUAGGUUGAGGGCACGUCUGCCUGGGCGUCACAUAUCGAAGCCUCUUGCCAAUUUCCUAUUGAUUGGUAUUGUGCAAGAUGAUGUUGGCCUCCCGUGAGCACCAUCGCCUCAUGGUUGGUUGAAAAUCGAGACCUUGGUAGAGUGUGCCAUGAUAAAUGGUGCAUGUGUUAAGCACGAGACCAAACAAUCAUGUGCUGCUCUAUUGAAUUUAGCCUCUUUUACCCACAUGCGUGUCUAAACGCUCGUGAUGAGACCUCAGGUCAGGCGGGGCUACCCGCUGAAUUUAAGCAUAUCAAUAAGCGGAGGAAAAGAAACUAACAAGGAUUCCCUUAGUAACGGCGAGCGAACCGGGAUAAGCCCACCAUGAGAAUCGGUCGCCCUCGGCGUUCGAAUUGUAGUCUG
Molecule: ribosomal RNA, 417 nt
Filed under: Trifolium pratense (red clover)
Lineage: Eukaryota; Viridiplantae; Streptophyta; Magnoliopsida; Fabales; Fabaceae
Description: eukaryotic LSU rRNA
Rfam family: Eukaryotic large subunit ribosomal RNA (bases 266-417)
Source: RNAcentral